UACGUAGGGUGCGAGCGUUAAUCGGAAUUACUGGGCGUAAAGGGUGCGCAGGCGGCUUGCUAAGACAGGUGUGAAAGCCCCGAGCUUAACUUGGGAAUUGCGCUCGAAACUACUUGGCUCGAGUGUGGCAGAGGAAGGUGGAAUUCCACGUGUAGCGGUGAAAUGCGUAGAGAUGUGGAGGAACACCGAUGGCGAAGGCAGCCUUCUGGGCCAACACUGACGCUCAUGCACGAAAGCGUGGGGAGCAAACAGG
This 253-nucleotide ribosomal RNA is filed under the name uncultured bacterium. Its description in RNAcentral is "partial 16S ribosomal RNA". It matches the Rfam family "Bacterial small subunit ribosomal RNA", at positions 524 to 776 of the family's 1533-position model. The record is from RNAcentral.